GCAUUGCAGAGGAGUCUCAUAAUAGGACGAAACGAUCGUCCAGUGC
Molecule: non-coding RNA, 46 nt
Organism: Schistosoma rodhaini
Lineage: Eukaryota; Metazoa; Platyhelminthes; Trematoda; Strigeidida; Schistosomatidae
Source: Rfam